This 461-nucleotide ribosomal RNA is filed under the name uncultured Methylomirabilota bacterium. Its description in RNAcentral is "bacterial SSU rRNA". It matches the Rfam family "Bacterial small subunit ribosomal RNA", at positions 977 to 1435 of the family's 1533-position model. Lineage: Bacteria; Methylomirabilota (SeqCode). The record is from RNAcentral.
GGGCUUGACAUCCCACGAACCUGCCCGAAAGGGUCGGGUGCCCGCAAGGGAGCGUGGAGACAGGUGGUGCAUGGCUGUCGUCAGCUCGUGUCGUGAGAUGUUGGGUUAAGUCCCGCAACGAGCGCAACCCUCACCCCUUGUUGCCACCGGGUCAUGCCGAGCACUCUAGGGGAACUGCCAGCGUCAAGCUGGAGGAAGGCGGGGAUGACGUCAAGUCAUCAUGCCCCUUACGCCCUGGGCAACACACGUGCUACAAUGGCUGGUACAAAGGGACGCAAGACCGCGAGGUGGAGCUAAUCCCAAAAAACCAGUCUAAGUUCAGAUUGCAGUCUGCAACUCGACUGCAUGAAGGAGGAAUCGCUAGUAAUCGCGCAUCAGCACGGCGCGGUGAAUACGUUCCCGGGCCUUGUACACACCGCCCGUCACACCACGAAAGCCAGCUGUACUCGAAGUCGCUGAGA